ACGAACGCUGGCGGCGUGCCUAAUACAUGCAAGUCGAACGAGAGCGACCGGUGCUUGCACUGGUCAAUCUCGUGGCGAACGGGUGAGUAACACGUGGGUAACCUGCCCAUCAGAGGGGGAUAACAUUCGGAAACGGAUGCUAAAACCGCAUAGGUCUUCGAACCGCAUGGUUUGAAGAGGAAAAGAGGCGCAAGCUUCUGCUGAUGGAUGGACCCGCGGUGCAUUAGCUAGUUGGUGAGGUAACGGCUCACCAAGGCCGUGAUGCAUAGCCGACCUGAGAGGGUGAUCGGCCACAUUGGGACUGAGACACGGCCCAAACUCCUACGGGAGGCAGCAGUAGGGAAUCUUCCGCGAUGGACGCAAGGCUGACGGAGCAACGCCGCGUGAGUGAAGAAGGUUUUCGGAUCGUAAAACUCUGUUGUUAGAGAAGAAUAAGUGCUAGAGUAACUGUUAGCGCCUUGACGGUAUCUAACCAGAAAGCCACGGCUAACUACGUG
This 497-nucleotide ribosomal RNA is filed under the name uncultured bacterium. RNAcentral describes it as "partial 16S ribosomal RNA". It matches the Rfam family "Bacterial small subunit ribosomal RNA", at positions 29 to 507 of the family's 1533-position model. The record is from RNAcentral.